AAAAAAUCACGAAACAUAACUCCCGUGAUUAUUCAAAACGCCAAGAACCAAAGAUUGACCUUCCUUCGGAGGGGCAGACGAAUUCUUUAUUCUCCCUACUGUACUGCUGACGACAUAAAGAGAGGGCACGGUUUACUGAAACCACUGACUCUAUCCAGCAGGCCCAGAUGAUGACAUUUGAUACACAGAUUAAAUUUGCUGGCAGGUUUAGAAUUGUCUUGAACUGAUACUGGUCCAAGAGACGUACAUGUACCAGUCAUUUUCCCGGUAAAGAAAUAAAUUAAAAAGAUUCAAAACAUCGACCACUUUGAUCAAGUGACUGUUUCUAUUAAGUUUGGAUGUUCAUUGAAUAAUCUAUUAACAUAAUUUAUCCCUAUUUUAUUUAUAAGUUAUUGUUUAAAUAACAGAAAUUUAAGAUUUUUACGGUACAUAUAAAACAAAUGCUGAAUGGCAUGGAUUUUGUAUGUAUCAAACAGACAAUAGGAAGUUACUAUGUUACACUGCUAGAAUUCCAAACGUAUUUUACUCUAACGAGGUUUUGAAUUUUAAUUGAACUUGCAUGUAUUUUUUAUUUUUUUGGUUUGAAUCGUGUGAAAAUGUGAUAAAAUAUAUGUAGAUUUAUGUAAGAGAGAAGAGAAUGCUAACAAAUUAAAAAGGACUAGAUAAAUAUGUUCUAUUUAUCAGUUUAAUCCAUACAGAAAAAAAGAUAUAUCUUCUAAUGUAUGCAUUGUGUAUUUUGGAUUGCAUCAAUUAAAUCACUUCUACGUAUCAAAUUUGUAGAAUAUGAAAUAAACAAUACAUUAUUUUCGAUAAGUCUUCAAGUUUACCACUUUAAUUAAUUCAAGAUAAUACACAAAUUAACAAAAAUAUCAAUUCGUUGAAUAAUUCAGCCGCGCGAAAAACAACCCGAUUAAUUUCUGAUCCGAAAA
Molecule: long non-coding RNA, 929 nt
Organism: Magallana angulata
Lineage: Eukaryota; Metazoa; Mollusca; Bivalvia; Ostreida; Ostreidae
Exons: 3
Source: RefSeq, a predicted model, not a curated record